This 1234-nucleotide ribosomal RNA is filed under the name metagenome. RNAcentral's name for it is "bacterial LSU rRNA". It matches the Rfam family "Bacterial large subunit ribosomal RNA", at positions 1564 to 2808 of the family's 2925-position model. The record is from RNAcentral.
UGAAUACGAGAUGCUACGGCGUCGAAGCAGUCUAUGUCAUACUUCCAAGAAAAGCUUGCACUGUCAUAAACAAAUAAUGCCUGUACCAUAACCGACACAGGUGGGUAGGUAGAGUAUACUAAGGGGCGCGAGAUAACUCUCUCUAAGGAACUCGGCAAAAUGACUCCGUAACUUCGGGAGAAGGAGUGCCUUAUUUAUAAGGUUGCAAUAACAAGACCCAAGCAACUGUUUAUCAAAAACACAGGUCUCCGCUAAGUCGUAAGACGAUGUAUGGGGGCUGACGCCUGCCCAGUGCCAGAAGGUUAAAGAAGUUGGUUAGCAUUAGCGAAGCUGAUGACUGAAGCCCUGGUGAACGGCGGCCGUAACGAUAACGGUCCUAAGGUAGCGAAAUUCCUUGUCGGGUAAGUUCCGACCCGCACGAAAGGCGUAAUGAUUUGGGUACUGUCUCAGAGAGGGACUCGGUGAAAUAGACUUGUCUGUGAAGAUGCGGACUACCUGCACCUGGACAGAAAGACCCUAUGAAGCUUUACUGUAACCUGAAAUUGAAAUUGGACUUUAUUUGCGCAGUAUAGGUGGGAGGCUUUGAAGAUAUUCUUGCGGGAAUGUUGGAGCCAUCAGUGAGAUACCACUCUUGUAAUGUUAGAUUUCUAACUUUGUAUCAUUAUCUGGUCAAAGAACAGUUUCAGGCGGGCAGUUUGACUGGGGCGGUCGCCUCCUAAACGGUAACGGAGGCGCACAAAGGUUUCCUCUGAACGGGUAGAAAUCGUAUCUAGAGUGUAAAGGCAUAAGGAAGCUUGACUGUGAGACCUACAAGUCGAGCAGGGACGAAAGUCGGUCUUAGUGAUCUGACGGUGCUGAGUGGAAAGGCCGUCACUCAACGGAUAAAAGUUACUCUAGGAUAACAGGCUGAUCUCCCCCAAGAGUUCACAUCGACGGGGAGGUUUGGCACCUCGAUGUCGGCUCAUCGCAUCCUGGGGCGGUAGUACGUCCCAAGGGUUGGGCUGUUCGCCCAUGAAAGCGGUACGCGAGCUGGGUUCAGAACGUCGUGAGACAGUUCGGUCCAUAUCCGGUGUAGGCGUUAGAAUAUUGAGAGGAGCCUUCUCUAGUACGAGAGGACCGAGAAGGACACACCUCUGGUGUACCAGUUAUCGUGCCAACGGUAAACGCUGGGUAGCUAUGUGUGGAGCGGGUAACCGCUGAAAGCAUCUAAGUGGGAAGCCCACCUCAAGAUAAG